CAGGGGAGAGGUAAGGUGGGGUGUAUGGCAGGGGAGAGGUGAGGUGAGGUGGUGUGUAUGGCAGGGGAGAGGUGAGGUGGUGUGUAUGGCAGGGGAGAGGUGAGGUGGUGUGUAUGGCAGGGGAGAGGUGAGGUGGUGUGUAUGGCAGGGGAAAGGUGAGGUGGGGUGUAUGGCAGGGGAGAGGUGAGGUGGGGUGUAUGCCAGGGGAAAGGUGAGGUAUACAACACAUUUUCCAAAAAGUAGUAGCAUUAGUCACGUAAACACAGAAAUAAACAAAUGGCACAUUGGAUUCCUAAUUUUAAAAAUAAGUGGUGCUUU
Oncorhynchus tshawytscha (Chinook salmon) is the source of this 318-nucleotide long non-coding RNA. The record is from Ensembl. NCBI's taxonomy places the organism in Eukaryota, Metazoa, Chordata, Actinopteri, Salmoniformes, Salmonidae.